RNAcentral lists this ribosomal RNA (327 nucleotides) under uncultured eukaryote. Its description in RNAcentral is "partial 18S ribosomal RNA". It matches the Rfam family "Eukaryotic small subunit ribosomal RNA", at positions 1470 to 1796 of the family's 1831-position model. The record is from RNAcentral.
CCCUUAGAUGUUCUGGGCCGCACGCGCGCUACACUGAUUCAUGCAACAAGUUUUGUCCUUGGCUGAUAGGCCUGGGCAAUCUUUGAACGUGAAUCGUGAUGGGGAUAGAUGAUUGCAAUUAUUCAUCUUCAACGAGGAAUUCCUAGUAAACGCAAGUCAUCAGCUUGCAUUGAUUACGUCCCUGCCCUUUGUACACACCGCCCGUCGCACCUACCGAUUGAAUGGUCCGGUGAAAUCUUCGGAUCUGAGAGAUGUCUGAUUAAUUUCGGACGCCUUUUGGAAAAGUUGUUUAAACCUUACCAUUUAGAGGAAGGUGAAGUCGUAACA